GAUGAACGCUGGCGGCGUACCUAAUACAUGCAAGUCGAGCGAACAGACGAGGAGCUUGCUCCUCUGACGUUAGCGGCGGACGGGUGAGUAACACGUGGAUAACCUACCUAUAAGACUGGGAUAACUUCGGGAAACCGGAGCUAAUACCGGAUAAUAUAUUGAACCGCAUGGUUCAAUAGUGAAAGACGGUUUUGCUGUCACUUAUAGAUGGAUCCGCGCCGCAUUAGCUAGUUGGUAAGGUAACGGCUUACCAAGGCGACGAUGCGUAGCCGACCUGAGAGGGUGAUCGGCCACACUGGGACUGAGACACGGUCCAGACUCCUACGGGAGGCAGCAGUAGGGAAUCUUCCGCAAUGGGCGAAAGCCUGACGGAGCAACGCCGCGUGAGUGAUGAAGGUCUUCGGAUCGUAAAACUCUGUUAUUAGGGAAGAACAAAUGUGUAAGUAACUAUGCACGUCUUGACGGUACCUAAUCAGAAAGCCACGGCUAACUACGUG
RNAcentral lists this ribosomal RNA (497 nucleotides) under uncultured bacterium. RNAcentral describes it as "partial 16S ribosomal RNA". It matches the Rfam family "Bacterial small subunit ribosomal RNA", at positions 28 to 507 of the family's 1533-position model. The record is from RNAcentral.